RNAcentral lists this transfer RNA (75 nucleotides) under Secundilactobacillus silagei JCM 19001. RNAcentral describes it as "tRNA-Arg". It matches the Rfam family "tRNA". Rfam says of the family: Transfer RNA (tRNA) molecules are approximately 80 nucleotides in length. Their secondary structure includes four short double-helical elements and three loops (D, anti-codon, and T loops). Further hydrogen bonds mediate the characteristic L-shaped molecular structure. tRNAs have two regions of fundamental functional importance: the anti-codon, which is responsible for specific mRNA codon recognition, and the 3' end, to which the tRNAs corresponding amino acid is attached (by aminoacyl-tRNA synthetases). tRNAs cope with the degeneracy of the genetic code in two manners: having more than one tRNA (with a specific anti-codon) for a particular amino acid; and 'wobble' base-pairing, i.e. permitting non-standard base-pairing at the 3rd anti-codon position. The record is from RNAcentral. Lineage: Bacteria; Bacillati; Bacillota; Bacilli; Lactobacillales; Lactobacillaceae.
GCGGCAAUAGCUCAGCUGGAUAGAGCAACGGUCUUCUAAACCGUAGGUCGAGGGUUCGAACCUCUCUUGCCGCAC